Molecule: ribosomal RNA, 497 nt
Filed under: uncultured bacterium
Lineage: Bacteria
Description: partial 16S ribosomal RNA
Rfam family: Bacterial small subunit ribosomal RNA
Source: RNAcentral
GAUGAACGCUGGCGGCGUGCCUAAUACAUGCAAGUCGAGCGAACAGACGAGGAGCUUGCUCCUCGGACGUUAGCGGCGGACGUGUGAGUAACACGUGGAUAACCUACCUAUAAGACUGGGAUAACUUCGGGAAACCGGAGCUAAUACCGGAUGAGAUAUUGAAGCGCGUGGUUCGAUAGUGAAAGACGGUUGUGCUGUCACUUAUAGAUGGAUCCGCGCCGCAUUAUCUAGUUGUGGAGUUAACGGGUUAACAAGGCAACGAGGCGUAGCCGAACUGAGAGGGUGAUCGGCCACACUGGAACUGAGACACGGUCCAGAAUCCUAAGGGAGGCAGCAGUAGGGAAUCUUACGCAAUGGGCGAAAGCCUUACGGAGCAGCCACGAGUGAGAGAUGAAGGUCUUCGGAUCGUAAAACUCUGUUAUUAGGGAAGAACAAUUGUGUACGUAACUAUGCACGUCUUGACGGUACCUAAUAAGAAAGCAACGGCUAACUACGUG